GACGAACGCUGGCGGCGUGCUUAACACAUGCAAGUCGAACGGAAAGGCCCUGCUUUUGUGGGGUGCUCGAGUGGCGAACGGGUGAGUAACACGUGAGUAACCUUCCCUUGACUUUGGGAUAACUUCAGGAAACUGGGGCUAAUACCGGAUAGGAGCUCCUGCUGCAUGGUGGGGGUUGGAAAGUUUCGGCGGUUGGGGAUGGACUCGCGGCUUAUCAGCUUGUUGGUGGGGUAGUGGCUUACCAAGGCUUUGACGGGUAGCCGGCCUGAGAGGGUGACCGGCGAAAUUGGGACUGCGAUACGGCCCAGACCCCUAAGGGAGGCAGCAGUGGGGAAUAUUGCACAAUGGGCGGAAGCCUGAUGAAGCAAUGCCGCGUGCGGGAUGACGGCCUUCGGGUUGUAAACCGCUUUCGCCUGUGACGAAGCGUGAGUGACGGUAAUGGGUAAAGAAGCACCGGCUAAAUACGUG
Molecule: ribosomal RNA, 468 nt
Filed under: uncultured bacterium
Lineage: Bacteria
Description: partial 16S ribosomal RNA
Rfam family: Bacterial small subunit ribosomal RNA
Source: RNAcentral